CCUAUGGCACUAGGGAUCCGAUCCAAAUUAAAUUGAAUCGCCAAAUGGGAAGAAAAAAAAAGGCUCACAAGAUAGAAAAUGGGGCAAGAACAACAGCUCAUCACUAAAUGGGAAGGCUCUGUUGACUGGAGAAGCCGACCUGCAAUCAGAGGUCGCCAUGGCGGCAUGCUUGCCUCCUCCUUUGUGCUGGAUUAAUUCUUACUUCAGUAGAGUUCGAAAAGGAAUUAAACAUUAUAAAGUAUGGAAGCAGUUUGGGUUGCAAAAUACGUGAGUUCAGGAAAAGAGACAUUAUUGUGAUGAGGAAAACGUGGAGCAGUUAUGUAUUUGGAGAUAAAGGCAGAGAGAAAAGGGGGAGAAGAAGGGAGACGUGCGGUUUCCCUCCUUUUACAUUUCAUUUAUUUUAUUUUGUGUUUUACAUAUUUAUUCAUAAUCGUAAUCUAUUUGAAUUGAAGUGAAGUGAUUCUUACCACAAUUUUCUGCAAUUUUGGUUGACAA
Malus domestica (apple) is the source of this 495-nucleotide long non-coding RNA. RefSeq lists it as uncharacterized. The record is from RefSeq and is a predicted model, not a curated record. Lineage: Eukaryota; Viridiplantae; Streptophyta; Magnoliopsida; Rosales; Rosaceae.